UCCGAUGUGGUGUAACGGCUAUCAUCGCCCGCUUUCAUUGAAAGCAGAAAAUACGCUUACGUAAACCGGGCAGACCCGGGUUCGACUCCCGGCAUCGGAA
Eremomyces bilateralis CBS 781.70 is the source of this 100-nucleotide non-coding RNA. The record is from the annotation of a RefSeq genome assembly. Lineage: Eukaryota; Fungi; Ascomycota; Dothideomycetes; Eremomycetales; Eremomycetaceae.